GAUGAACGCUGGCGGCGUGCCUAAUACAUGCAAGUCGAGCGAACAGAUGAUGAUCUUGCUCCUCUGACGUUAGCGGCGGACGUGUGAGUAACACGUGUAUAACCUACCUAUAAUACUGGUAUAACUUCGGGAAACCGGAGCUAAUACCGUAUAAGAUAUUGAACCGCAUUGGGGAAUAGUGAAAUACGGUGUUGCGGUCACUUAUAGAUGGUUCUGCGCCGCAUUAGCUAGUUGGUAAGGUAACGGCUUACCAAGGCAACGAGGCGUAGCCGACCUGAGAGGGGGAUCGGCGACCCUGGAACGGAGACACGGUCAAGAGUACUACGGGACGGCGCAGAAGGGAAUCGUACGCAGUGGGCGAAAGCCUGACGGAGUGGCGCCGAGUGAGUGAUGGAGGUCUUCGGAGCGUAAAACUCUGUUAUUAGGGAAGAACAACUGUGUAAGUAAAUAUGGCCGUAUUGACGGUAACUAAUAAGAAAGCAACGGCUAACUACGUG
Molecule: ribosomal RNA, 497 nt
Filed under: uncultured bacterium
Lineage: Bacteria
Description: partial 16S ribosomal RNA
Rfam family: Bacterial small subunit ribosomal RNA
Source: RNAcentral